UAUAUCAGGGCGGGUGCUUACACAUGCAAGUCGAACGCUGAAGCUCCCAGCUUGCUGGGGGUGGAUGAGUGGCGAACGGGUGAGUAACACGUGAGUAACCUGCCUAUCACUCUGGGAUAAGCACUGGAAACGGUGUCUAAUACUGGAUAUGCACAAUGGCCGCAUGGUCUGUUGUGGGAAAGAUUUAUCGGUGAUAGAUGGACUCGCGGCCUAUCAGCUUGUUGGUGAGGUAAUAGCUCACCAAGGCGACGACGGGUAGCCGGCCUGAGAGGGUGAUCGGCCACACUGGGACUGAGACACGGCCCAGACUCCUACGGGAGGCAGCAGUGGGGAAUAUUGCACAAUGGGCGAAAGCCUGAUGCAGCAACGCCGCGUGAGGGAUGAAUGCCUUCGGGUUGUAAACCUCUUUUAGUAGGGAAGAAGCGCAAGUGACGGUACCUGCAGAAAAAGCACCGGCUAACUACGUGCCAGCAGCCGCGGUAAUACGUAGGGUGCAAGCGUUGUCCGGAAUUAUUGGGCGUAAAGAGCUCGUAGGCGGCUUGUCGCGUCUGCUGUGAAAACCCGAGGCUCAACCUCGGGCUUGCAGUGGGUACGGGCAGGCUAGAGUGCGGUAGGGGAGAUUGGAAUUCCUGGUGUAGCGGUGGAAUGCGCAGAUAUCAGGAGGAACACCAAUGGCGA
This 678-nucleotide ribosomal RNA is filed under the name Leucobacter sp. RNAcentral describes it as "bacterial SSU rRNA". It matches the Rfam family "Bacterial small subunit ribosomal RNA", at positions 30 to 718 of the family's 1533-position model. The record is from RNAcentral. Lineage: Bacteria; Bacillati; Actinomycetota; Actinomycetes; Micrococcales; Microbacteriaceae.